This 646-nucleotide ribosomal RNA is filed under the name uncultured Pseudomonas sp. Its description in RNAcentral is "bacterial SSU rRNA". It matches the Rfam family "Bacterial small subunit ribosomal RNA", at positions 117 to 759 of the family's 1533-position model. The record is from RNAcentral. Lineage: Bacteria; Pseudomonadati; Pseudomonadota; Gammaproteobacteria; Pseudomonadales; Pseudomonadaceae.
CUAGGAAUCUGCCUGGUAGUGGGGGACAACGUCUCGAAAGGGACGCUAAUACCGCAUACGUCCUACGGGAGAAAGUGGGGGAUCUUCGGACCUCACGCUAUCAGAUGAGCCUAGGUCGGAUUAGCUAGUUGGUGAGGUAAUGGCUCACCAAGGCGACGAUCCGUAACUGGUCUGAGAGGAUGAUCAGUCACACUGGAACUGAGACACGGUCCAGACUCCUACGGGAGGCAGCAGUGGGGAAUAUUGGACAAUGGGCGAAAGCCUGAUCCAGCCAUGCCGCGUGUGUGAAGAAGGUCUUCGGAUUGUAAAGCACUUUAAGUUGGGAGGAAGGGCAGUAAAUUAAUACUUUGCUGUUUUGACGUUACCGACAGAAUAAGCACCGGCUAACUCUGUGCCAGCAGCCGCGGUAAUACAGAGGGUGCAAGCGUUAAUCGGAAUUACUGGGCGUAAAGCGCGCGUAGGUGGUUUGUUAAGUUGGAUGUGAAAUCCCCGGGCUCAACCUGGGAACUGCAUCCAAAACUGGCAAGCUAGAGUAGGGCAGAGGGUGGUGGAAUUUCCUGUGUAGCGGUGAAAUGCGUAGAUAUAGGAAGGAACACCAGUGGCGAAGGCGACCACCUGGGCUCAUACUGACACUGAGGUGCGAAAG